AUUGAACGCUGGCGGCAGGCUUAACACAUGCAAGUCGAACGAGCGGCGGACGGGUGAGUAAUGUAUGGGGAUCUGCCUGAUGGAGGGGGAUAACUACUGGAAACGGUAGCUAAUACCGCAUACCAUCAGAUGAACCCAUAUGGGAUUGUCUUUGAGGGGAGGUAACGGCUCACCUAGGCGACGAUCCAUCGCUGGUCGCAGAGGAUGAUCAGCCACACUGGGACUGAGACACGGCCCAGACGCCUACGGGAGGCAGCAGUGGGGAAUAUUGCACAAUGGGCGCAAGCCUGAUGCAGCCAUGCCGCGUGUAUGAAGAAGGCCUUCGGGUUGUAAAGUACUUUCAGUCGGGAGGCGUUACCGACAGAAGAAGCACCGGCUAACUCCGUGCCAGCAGCCGCGGUAAUAC
This 406-nucleotide ribosomal RNA is filed under the name uncultured bacterium. RNAcentral's name for it is "partial 16S ribosomal RNA". It matches the Rfam family "Bacterial small subunit ribosomal RNA", at positions 30 to 526 of the family's 1533-position model. The record is from RNAcentral.